RNAcentral lists this ribosomal RNA (265 nucleotides) under uncultured bacterium. RNAcentral's name for it is "partial 16S ribosomal RNA". It matches the Rfam family "Bacterial small subunit ribosomal RNA", at positions 526 to 779 of the family's 1533-position model. The record is from RNAcentral.
CGAAGGGGCGUAGCGUUGCUCGGAAUCACUGGGCGUAAAGGGACGGCGUAGGCGGACAUUUAAGUUCGGGGGUGGAAAGACCCACGGGCGUCAACCCUCGGAAUUGCCUCCCGAUACUGGGUGGUCUCGAGACCGGAAGAGGUGAGUGGAACUGCGAGUGUAGAGGUGAAAUUACGUAGAUAUUCGCAAGAACACCAGUGGCGAAGGCGGCUCACUGGUCCGGUUCUGACGCUGAGGCGCGAAAGCGUGGGGAGCAAACAGGAUU